This 253-nucleotide ribosomal RNA is filed under the name Hyphomicrobiaceae bacterium. Its description in RNAcentral is "partial 16S ribosomal RNA". It matches the Rfam family "Bacterial small subunit ribosomal RNA", at positions 524 to 776 of the family's 1533-position model. RNAcentral also lists the same sequence under 2 other names. The record is from RNAcentral. Lineage: Bacteria; Pseudomonadati; Pseudomonadota; Alphaproteobacteria; Hyphomicrobiales; Hyphomicrobiaceae.
UACGAAGGGGGCUAGCGUUGUUCGGAAUCACUGGGCGUAAAGCGCACGUAGGCGGACCUAUAAGUCAGGGGUGAAAUCCCGGGGCUCAACCUCGGAACUGCCUCUGAUACUGUGGGUCUCGAGACCGGAAGAGGUGAGUGGAAUUCCUAGUGUAGAGGUGAAAUUCGUAGAUAUUAGGAAGAACACCAGUGGCGAAGGCGGCUCACUGGUCCGGUUCUGACGCUGAGGUGCGAAAGCGUGGGGAGCAAACAGG